Small nuclear RNA from Mastomys coucha (southern multimammate mouse), 146 nucleotides. RefSeq annotates it as U4 spliceosomal RNA. NCBI's taxonomy places the organism in Eukaryota, Metazoa, Chordata, Mammalia, Rodentia, Muridae. The record is from RefSeq and is a predicted model, not a curated record. The transcript has a single exon.
AGCUUUGCGCAGUGGCAGUAUCGUAGCCAAUGAGGUUUAUCCGAGGCGCGAUUAUUGCUAAUUGAAAAAUAUAACAAAUAUAACACAAUACCUGAGAUAGUUGAUGUGUAAAAAGAAAUUUUUCAUUUUUGCUGACAGCUUCCUGU